This 912-nucleotide ribosomal RNA is filed under the name Triticum aestivum (bread wheat). Its description in RNAcentral is "partial small subunit ribosomal RNA". Lineage: Eukaryota; Viridiplantae; Streptophyta; Magnoliopsida; Poales; Poaceae. The record is from RNAcentral.
AUGUGCCUUCCACAACUUUUACUUCUAGUGUUCAUGGUAUGUUCAGACCAAGUUAGUGCGAUAUCAUGGUUACACAAUCCAUAUACUUGGGAUAUAGCUCUAUCCGAGAAACAACCAUCCUCGUAUAGCAGCCCGCUACUCAUGAAGGCUGGCAUGAAGAGUAAGAUAACCCAUUAUGCAACCUAUACGUCAAACACGUUCCAUGAAUCUGUGCUUACCGGUGGCAUGGCAACAUUUAAUAUAUGGAUUCUGCAAAAUAAGAAGGACCAAAUAAGCGCGUCAGCAAUAUGGGUAUCAAAUACAGAAGGUGAUGACGAUAGUACCACCAAUACCGCGGUAGCUGGAUUAGAAGUUAACCCAUCUAGGUAUGGUGAUAGCAAAACACAUUUCUUUAUGGAAUGGACGGCUGAUGGGUAUAAAUCGACUGGAUGCAUAAACUUGGAAUGUGAUGGUUUUGUGCCUGUAAAUUAUGCCCCUAUUACUCCAGGAGAUACUAUAGAGGCAACAGGUGGAAAAACUAAGGUCACUAUCAAGAUAUUCAAGAACAAAGCAGACGGUGACUGGUGGCUGCACUUUGGAUAUGAUAAUCGAAACCUUACCCGUGUUGGGUAUUGGCCCAAAAGUAUUUUUAAAAGUUUGGCAGACCAUGCAAACUACAUAAUUUGGGGUGGUUUCACUGCAUCAUAUGCUGGGGAUGCUAGUCCUGCAAUGGGGAAUGGACACUGGCCCGGAGAAAAAUCCGCAUAUGUUCGAGAUAUCAAAUACGUUAACACUGAUGGCCAAGGUGACUGGGAGCCUGCUCCAGGCCCCAAUGGCCUUCGUGCUUAUAUAUCUCAUGAGAAAUGCUAUGGACUAAGCCCAUAUCGAAAUGAUAUGUUCUAUUAUGGAGGACCUGGAGGUUGUACUAAGUAA